Molecule: long non-coding RNA, 8891 nt
Organism: Corythoichthys intestinalis (scribbled pipefish)
Lineage: Eukaryota; Metazoa; Chordata; Actinopteri; Syngnathiformes; Syngnathidae
Exons: 2
Source: RefSeq, a predicted model, not a curated record
AUAAUUUGAUGCACUUCUGUUGAUAAACGAGGAGGACUCCUACUGCCUGUUUGUUGAAGCGCAACAUUUUUUUUUUUUUGUUGCUGUUGCCCUGUCUGAAGUAGAUAGGUUUGCUGACAGGUCUACUCAUGUGAUUUUAUUACUAUAUCAAUAGGUAUUAUGUAAAUUCUAAUGUCCCCAGAACCAAAUGGGUCCUUGGCUCGUUGUUUUUUCGCCUGUCACAGGGUAAAUAUAAAGCCUAUAUAUAAAACAAUCUACCUGCCAGGCCCUAAUAUAUCAAAUACAGUGGUACCUCUACAUACGAUCACUUCGACACACGAUCUUUUCGACAUCCGACGUAAAAUUUGAGCCGCCAUUUGUUUCUACAUCCGACGAGUUGCUCGAAAUACGACGACAUGACAGCACUGCAAACGAACGCACGGUGGAUUUUCUUGUGUGAGAAAUCAACACAGUUUUCAAAAAAAGUUGAUACAGUUGGAGAAACAAGGAAAAAAGUGAUGCUUACCUUUGAAAUGAAGAUGCAAGUUAUAGAAAAAUAUGAGCUUGGGGUGCGUGUCCCUGAACUGGCUCAACAAUACAGCUCCGUGGUCCUCUUCCGACCACCGUUCGCCACUAUUUAUAAGUUAAGGUGAAAAUUAUCAUUGUGGUAACAUUGCCAAGGAAAUCGCCAGCUUCGUCACGUUUUUAUCAUUUAUUUAAGAACUUAUCCAACACAAAACGCCCAUUAAGCAGUUGACUGCUCUCAAGAAAACGAAAGUAUUAUCUCUACCGCACCGACCUAUCUCACUUCGCGGUGCGUUCAGGGACAGUAAAAAGCCUGAACUGGCUCAACAAUACAGCUCCGUGGUCCUCUUCCGACCACCGUUCGCCACUAUUUAUAAGUUAAGGUGAAAAUUAUCAUUGUGGUAACAUUGCCAAGGAAAUCGCCAGCUUCGUCACGUUUUUAUCAUUAAUUUAAGAACUUAUCCAACACAAAACGCCCAUUGUCUUAAGCAGUUGACUGCUCUCAAGAAAACGAAAGUAUUAUCUCUACCGCACCGACCUAUCUCACUUCGCGGUGCGUUCAGGGACAGUAAAAAGUGUCCGCCAUAUUAGAAUCCGAUUCGUUACAUUAUUUACAGGAAUAAUUAUUAAUUAUUCUUCUUAUUAUUAUAUUAUUCUGAAUUAUUUAUUUAUAACUUAUUUGUUUUUCUAUGUUUAAUUGCCAUUUGUAACAGUGCCAGCAGUAUUUAUUAAGAAUUUAGUAUAUGUUUUUAGGCUUUGGAACGAAUUAAUGGAAUUAUAAUGUAUUCCUAUGGGAAAAUCCUGCUCGACAUACGACCAUUUCGACUUACAAACAAGGUCCUGGAACGAAUUAAAUUCGUAUGUAGAGGUACCACUGUACAUCUCAAUAAAACAAUAACUAUUGUACUACAGCAUCAACAUCAAGGUCUGCCUAUUUGAAGAGGGAACAAUAGCAUCAAAUUGAUGCUGCUUUGACUGGGGCAUUAUUAUUUGAUCACCAAGAAAUUCUCAUUAAAAUUAGGAUUCAUCCAAUAUUUUCAUGCUGCUGUGAUUUUUUUUUUUUUUUCCCAGGAAGCCAAACAUAAAAAAUUAAGCGGUGGAAACCCUCAACACGAUGAAAAAAGCGUUGCAAGUCAGUCGCCACCCAGUUUCCCAAAAUCAAGAGAGAGUGGGUCGAGUCAUAUGACGACCCAAGUGAUGCGGUGUCCAGCGAUGACGACUGAAGAGAUCCUAUGAGGCCUGCCAGAUGCUGAAUUUCUUCCGUCUGUGACAUCAGACGACGAUGACUUAGGAGAAAUAAAUGUAGCAAAUUUUAAUGACAUGAAAUCAUAAACUAGUCAUAUAGACCCUACUCGCCAACGUCACAGAAUGACGUGUCGCUGCAUCCGGCCGUCAUAUUGUCCGUCAGUGUUUAUCCGUAUUCUCAAUGGUUUCAAUUUGUCGUGCAAUUUAUAGUGCAAUUCAUGGAAGCCCCGGUGCUUUCAGAUGCUGUAAACUCAUUGGAUGCGUUGCAUAAAAGGCGUUAUGUGGAAAAGCUUCAAUCUAUCCAUUCGCCAGAUCCAUAUUUGAUGCCUAAAUAGAUAUUUUUCGACCCGCUGUCUUCGCCCUCUGCCUGACAUCUGCUACCCUGAUAUCUACAACUAUCUUGUCCACACAAAAUCAGCCUAUUCUCACGAAAGUUUGAAAAACUUUAGGAGCACCACUCUAAGCAACAUUACCCCGUGUGACCCUUUACUUCCAAUUUUCUAAAAUGGCGACAAUCAGUUAAAAAAAAAAGUUGACUGCAAUGGCCGACGCUUCAAGGAUAGGUGAAUAUUGGACUAUUUCUUCAAUAAAACAUGCAACAACUGUGUCUGCCUCUUUUGCAAAGAGACAGUCGGUGUUUUCAAAGAGUUCGAUGUGACGCGAUAUUACCAAACAAGACACGCUGACAUGUACGACAACAUUACAGGGAAGAUAUGCAGCGAGAAAUUAUAGCAACUUGAAGCUAGUUUCAUUUCACAGCAGCAGUAUUUCGCAAGAGCCCGAGUGUCGAAAGAGAACGCCACAAAGACGAGAUUGUUAAAUUUAUGAAUUAAAAAAAAUAAUAAAGCAAAUGUGACACACAGAAGGGCUUGCUAAAAUUUGUUUAAAUAUAUUGUUCUAUGUAAAUCAGCCAAGGUAGCCCCCCGCAUUUUUACCACACCAAAUCUGGCCCCCUUUGCAAAAGGUUUGGACACACCUGUUUAACUUCUUUCACUUGGUACCAGCUAAAUAUUAUUAAAAAAAUAAUGAUGGUGGAAGAAAUAAGCAUCUUGAAUUUGAAACUGUAUGUUGUCGGCGAUUAGCAAUGAUCUUAAUUGUGGUUGUUAGCCCAAAACCCUCUUAAUAUAUAUUAAAUGCAUCUUACCAGAUAUAAAAUGACUACUACAUAAUCUGUAGUGAUCGUUUGGUGCCCAGUUUUCUCGUCGAAUUGCAGCAGUCCAUCUCGCUCUCCUCUCCGGGUCUCUCAGACUGAGAGACUUGAAGUUCUACCGUAUUCAAUCUUCUCUGUUAUUGCAACCAACCGCCACACACGCCUUCACCAUUUUGAUUAUUAAUGUUAACGAGCAGAAAAACACGCCAUAAUAGGAGGAAUUUACGUAGCGGUAAUGCUUAAACCCGACGAGCUGACGGACAAUAUGUCGCGGAGGCGUGGUUGUGACGUCAUUGUGAGUGGGGUCUAUACACAGUACACAUUUUUUAAAAGAUAAAUCUAGUUACCUUCACAUUUUAAUGAUAAUGAUUUAUCUUUGUAUAGAGAACACUUAAUGCUACAGGAAAGACUAAAAACAUAUUUCCCACUGCCAUUAUCAUUUUUCAAUGUUGCGCUAGUCCGUUGCUAUCCUAACUUUGUGUUGCUUACUAAAUUUAUGUUCUUUGAUGUGUGCCAUUGUGUGCUUGGUAUAACUUAGCUUUCUAUGUUGUGUCACAAUCUGACAGCGAAAGCUGAUGCUGAUUGAACAUAAAUCUGGUAUCAUUUAUUAUUGUGGCUUAUUGAAUAUUUUUUCAGAAUGUAAUAUAAUUACAAUAUAUUAUAUACCAAUAGAAUACAUUAAACAGUCAACAAAAUGUGUCAAUGUUGUUUACAAUUUAUGGUUUUAUUUUUUAAUGUAAUUCAUGCCCCUGUCAGUGCUUCAGCCUCCUCAAGUUUGGCUCUCACGUCUGGGAUCUCCUGACGACACAGGCAAACUCUUGGAAGGGUAAUUACUUGACGGUUUACAGCAACACCUGGAAAAUAAAAUCGUUUUGUCAUUUAUUUUGAAAAAUCAAUAACAUAUCAUUCAUUUAGCCACAUUUGGGCUAGCUUUACCAUAUUUAGAUCGGUAGGAGCUGUCCCAUUACCUAAUAUCCAGUUUUAGUUAUGUGGAGAGCAUGGAAAAAUAUACAACCAUGUAAUCGCAUUCUCUCAAAUAAAAAAAUCACGAUGCUGGAUUUAGGCUUACCACUCACUCUCCUGUUCGUGAAGUAUCGAGCUUAAGCCUGUUGCAAUAUGCAAUAAUUCCAUUUAUCGCACAGUAAAUAAAAAUGAAGGCGGUAAUUUUUCCGCUGCAAUUUAUCGCCUCGCGUGCAUGUGCGUGCGCGCGUGUGGCAGACGUGCUGUUAAAAGUUCGGAUUCCUUGUUACCAACUGCGCAAAAUGCAUCUUCAUUCCAAGUCCGGCAAAAAAAUAGCGCCGGGGCCAAUCGUUCCCAUUGUAUCCUAUUGUUCAACGUAUACCGGUGUAGGUUCACUAUCCUCUUCUCCUCACUAUCCACUCGCUCUCGCUAUAUGAUUGGCCGAAGAGUCGAAAUGCUCUCCCGUGAUUGGCCGAAGAGUCGAAAUGCUGUCCCGUGAAAUGCCUGUUUAAAAAUGUUCCCGUUGUUACUUCUUGCGUUCGCUUAAAAGUGCUCAUUUAAAAAGGAAAAUCGAUGGAUGAUACUACACACAGAGCGUAUUAUUAACAAAUGCUAAAGUUGUAUAUUCAUAUAGCGAGAAUAAGGAACGUCACUGACAAGCGCAGGCCACCGCGAGUGGAUAGUGAGGGGAAUAGGAUAGUGUCAGUGACUGCGAACCAUCUCCGGCAUGCCGUUGUUGUUGACGUGUGGGCGCUCCCGUCAGGGGUGACAGUUCACGCGAGGCGGCUAUUUUUCGGCACAACACCGGAUAUUUGAGUGGCAGAUUAAGAGCGCUAUGCUUCAAACUCGCUCUGUUUAUGAAAGUCGAUUGUCAUAUGCUGGUCUUGUGCAGUAAUGAGCAGACGUGACUUCUGUGGCGUUUGCUAACUUUUUAAUGCGCGCACACACUAGAUAUCAUGUAAUAGCAAACUAGACGUGCUACGUCCCAUGCCAUUGGCUACGUGAGCCCAGAGUGAUUAUGGGACACGUAGUCCAUAUACUACAUCUAUGAAUUAUAAACCGCCAUGACUGAAUGGAAGUUAAGAAGGCCAAAUCAAUCCAUAGCAGUUAAUAUAGAUAAUGCUGCAAAUAUUGUUAAUUCAGUACGUGACACAGAUGGAUUCGGACCACAAAUAGGAUGUCUUGCUCAUGUAGUAAACGUAGCUGCUAAGAGAGCUGUAGCAAUAAACAGUGUGCCCCGCCUCACUUUAAAAACAGUAAAGAUGGUUCUCAUAACUUUUAUACAAAAUUUCUUCAGAUCAGUAAGAAGUAAGCACAUAAAUAUUAUUAACUAAAAUGCAUGUUUAUAUGAUGGGAAUAUAAUUUUUGCUCGUUAGCAAAAAAAAUAAAAAAUAAUAAAAAAAAGAAACAAAAAAUACAAUUUCUUAUAUUUUUUUCAGAGCAUUAAAUGUAUUGAAUCGGAUCGAAAAUCGUGUCCCCCGUAUCGAAAAUCGUACUGAACCGUGACUUAACUGUAUCGUUGCAUCCUUAUGGAACACCAUUGCAAAAAGUAUGAGGGGAAAAGUUUUCAUUUGCCUCAAUGUUUAAGUUAUUAAGUGCAAUUUUAUUAUUUUCUUGAAAAAUGCAUUUUAUUUAUUCUGUGUUUCUGUGCGGUAUGAGUAUUGUUGUCUUUUACUUAAGAGGUAUGGUCUAUUGUUUUUAAUUAUGAUUUCUCAAAAAGUAUUUUUGAAUUUAAGAGUAAAUAUUUAUCGCGUUUAAAUGGGUGUACUUGAUCUAUUAAUAUAUAAUGUAUUCUCACUGUGUUAUUGUAAAUUGGUUUUUCAAAAAAAAAAGAAUGGGGGGGCGCAAUAAUAUUGCAUAUCGCAAUAAUUUAUGAGAUAAUUUAUCGCACACUAAAAUUUGUUAUCGCGACAGGCCUAGUCGAGCUGUUAAUUGGCGUCAUGACGACAUAUGCUGUGUCAAGUAAAUAGCCGUCAUCUGACGCCUCAGGUUCAAACAUGUAAGGAUUAAUUGUAGUUCAUCUUUCCUGGGAGCCUUUGCCAUCGGUUGCGUCACGAAUGAGCGAUCCUGAAUGGUUACCUUUGGUGGAAAUAUCACUGAUAUGGGGUCAGAUUAGUCUCAUAAGUACUCGUACAUACAUUGUGGGAUUCGUAAACACAUAGCACGCGAAACACACACACAUUGUGGGAUUCGUACACACAUAGCAUGCGAACCACACGCAAUUGUGGGAUUCGUACACACAUAGCACGCGAACCACACACAUUGUGGGAUUCGUAAACACAUAGCACGCGAAACACACACACAUCGUGGGAUUCGUAAACACAUAGCACGCGAAACACAAACACAUUCACCAAAUGUGUGUGUGAAUUGUUUUACGCGCAUUUGCAACGUGCUUCCAAUUACAAAUUCCCACUUACGAAUACAAAUUCCCACUUACGAAUGUGUGGAUCGUUUUGAUACCCGUCAUGCGCAACUGAGAAGAACACAUGCAUUUUUUUAACUGGAGCCCGUCUUCAGCCAAUCAGACGUCUUCUUCUUAAACAGCCAAUCACAAGGGCUGGGCUGUUUCGUUACGUCACUGCUGUGCGCCUUCAAGUCCGGUGUACUGAGUGACAAGUGACAAAUGGGGAGCUUUUGUAAAAGUAGGAGCCCCGUUUUUGACAGCUCAACUCGACCGCGGGGACUAUCGAUGCAAGCUGAAGACGUCCCAUCCAUUUUGAGUGGGAGGACCUCCCAUGCACUUCAAAUGUAUUGGAUGUCAACUGGUGAAAAACUCAUUGAACCGCUCAGCAGAGGGAUGAUGAGAGCAAGAUUAGAUGUCUAAUACUGUACUAUAUGUGGCACAUUUUUAACAGGCUUUUUUUCCGCUAAAUAAGUCUUUUUAAGAUUACUUUCUCCAUUUCAAGCCUAUUUGAAAGUCAUACUUGGGAAAAUUCAGACUUCUUAAUGUAUGAUUGUGAUGUCUAUGCUUAAACCAAUUUAAGACCAUUUUAAAAGGAAAAAAAUAGACAUUAUAAGCCUGUUAAAAAUGCUACCUACAGUGACAGUAUUUAAAGGAUGGUAGUCUAUUACGGAUAUAAAAAAAUAUAUUUUUUGAAAGACUUGGAGCAACAGAGCUUUCUUGCCAAAUGAAUCACAUUUGAUACACUUAGGAUUUAGAACUCUUUCCUCAAAAAAAAAAAAAAAAAAAAAAAAAAAGGAUGCAAGUCAACUCAUGCAUCUGCAUGUUCCAUGAGAAAAACAGGAUUUAACAAGGAAAAUAGAUAUUAGAGCGCUUAUUACACAUUUUUCUUUACAAAUUUGGAAAAAAAAAGGUUUAAGACCUUAUUUUUCACAUUUUGUGAUUCUCUGACAAUUGCUUCAUAUUGCAGGCAUUAAGGGGUUAAGACCUGCCACAUGAAUUUUACUACCUUUUUAAACACUUUUUUUUUAUUGCGACAAACCUAAUAAGUGAUCAAUGAUGGCAAGAGAGGAUAAAGCGCAGCAGCAAAUCCUCAGAUCUGUUCUUUGGAUGCCUUUGAAAGUAAAUAGUGACAUUGAGAGCAAUCAGGAGUUCAAUUAUGUGAGGUGAGGAGACCAAGUAAGUUUUGAGACAUUUUUUAAAUUUAAAUAGACAUCUCAGACUCCCAGCCUGUAGGAGGGCACAGGCUAGAUCUCCUCGAGCCUUCAGAACUUCGGGAAGGUGGGUCUGGUUGUGCCUGAGAUCUCCAUUGGCCAUAUACUCUUCCGCAAACUGAAAUGGCAUUUUAGGCAUUCUGUUACAUAUCAGUGCUAAACAACAACAGCAGCAAAGUUUUACUGCAGAGACUCCGAAAUCUUAAAAUCAUUACCUUUAAUGUGAAAACCCCACAGCUACUGUUGUUCUGCUGCUUGUUAUGGGCCACAGUUUUGGUAGUCCAAGUUUCUAUUUGGAACUCACGGCCCGCCAACCUCAAGAAGUUCCUAAUUAUUGUUUUAUAAGCAAAACAAUGAAGAUGAACAUUGAACUAUUAACUUCCAUAUUAACAUCAUACUAGGAAUUUAAACUUUCUGAAGCGGUUACCUCCAAUUCCGCAAGAUUUUGCUCAUAUUUGUCCUCGUUACUCAAGGGAUCGUUGAUCACCAGUGUUCUCUUAGAAAUGUGGACAAUCUAUAAAAGGUUAGUUCCUUUGUGUAAUUCUGCACAAUGACAGAUUUAUGUAGUUAACUUACUAAUGAAAUUUAACUUCUGUAUGGCAUCAGCUAAAUUAAUAGCUAUAUAUAAUACAUUCCAGAAUCGGUAGGUCUUAAGAAAAUAUAAGAAACCCACUAACCACUAAAAUCCAAUGAGCGCAUACAGGACAGGACAGGACAAAUAUACUUUUUUUUUCAACAGGGAAUUUCCUCUGAAGAACAUACAAUACCAAAUUAUUGUUAUUUUGGGUUACUGGCGUUAAAAUAAUAUAGCUAAAUAUUGGCAUGAAAUGGAUUACCUUUCUAACAGGCUGAAAUUUUCCCAAAAGCAGACUCCCAGCUACCACAGCAGAGAGUUGGUGAAUGGGCUCCUGUUAAAAAAAGGGGUAACAACAUUACAACUAUACUCCGGCAAAAAAUAAAUGCAUUGAGAAAAACUAUAUCCAGCACUUGGCUGCUGCCUUUCAAUGAGGAUAUGCAUGUAUGCAUCAAAUACUUGCAUAGCAAAAUAAAAAAAUUGGCAAAAGGCAAGAAUCUUUGUUAUUUGCUAAACACUUAUUGCUCUCACUGACUUCAUCAGACAGCCAGCCGUUGCCUUUUAGCGUAUGAAAAGAUGUGUCAUAUAAUUUAUACGGUCCAACGACAGCCUCCACCUUGCCUUGAUCCUCUGCAGCCCACAGUAAUUUAACUGAAAACACAACAUUGUUAAAUCAAAAAAGUUAUUAUUUACGGCACUUGACCAGAUGACCAUCCGGUCAAAAUUAUCUACUGAAUAGGCCAAACCACCAAACAAAUCCUGUCGGUCGUUCACCAAUUUUGUAAGAGCUGUACGAAGUAGAAGGGUACAAUUAGAUAUACAUUUUAGAACACCAACAACAAC